Molecule: ribosomal RNA, 370 nt
Filed under: uncultured Pseudomonadota bacterium
Lineage: Bacteria; Pseudomonadati; Pseudomonadota
Description: bacterial SSU rRNA
Rfam family: Bacterial small subunit ribosomal RNA
Source: RNAcentral
UUAGUGGCAGACGGGUGAGUAACAUGUAGGUAUCUACCCUUUGGCCUGGAAUAACACGAGGAAACUUGUGCUAAUACCGGAUAAGUCUUUACGGAGAAAGCUUUAUGCACCAUUGGAUGAGCCUGCACUUGAUUAGUUUGUUGGUGGGGUAAUGGCCUACCAAGACUUUGAUCAAUAGCUGAUUUGAGAGGAUGAUCAGCCACAUUGGGACUGAGACACGGCCCAAACUCCUACGGGAGGCAGCAGUGGGGAAUCUUGCACAAUGGAGGAAACUCUGAUGCAGCGAUGCCGCGUGAGUGAAGAAGGCCUUUGGGUUGUAAAGCUCUUUCGUCGGGGAAGAAAAUGACUGUACCCGAAUAAGAAGGUCCGG